RNAcentral lists this ribosomal RNA (250 nucleotides) under uncultured bacterium. RNAcentral describes it as "partial 16S ribosomal RNA". It matches the Rfam family "Bacterial small subunit ribosomal RNA", at positions 355 to 622 of the family's 1533-position model. The record is from RNAcentral.
UUAGGAAUAUUGGACAAUGGGCGAAAGCCUGAUCCAGCCAUGCCGCGUGUGUGAUGAAGGCCCUAGGGUUAUAAAGCACUUUCGUUGGGGAUGAUAAUGACCGUACCCAAAGAAGAAGCACCGGCUAACUUCGUGCCAGCAGCCGCGGUAAUACGAGGGGUGCAAGCGUUGUUCGGAAUCACUGGGCGUAAAGAAUGCGUAGGCGGCUUAACAAGUCGAGAGUGAAAUCCCAGGGCUCAACCCUGGAACU